Molecule: ribosomal RNA, 739 nt
Filed under: Acinetobacter baumannii
Lineage: Bacteria; Pseudomonadati; Pseudomonadota; Gammaproteobacteria; Moraxellales; Moraxellaceae
Description: bacterial SSU rRNA
Rfam family: Bacterial small subunit ribosomal RNA
Source: RNAcentral
UAACUGAAGAGUUUGAUCAUGGCUCAGAUUGAACGCUGGCGGCAGGCUUAACACAUGCAAGUCGAGCGGGGGAAGGUAGCUUGCUACCGGACCUAGCGGCGGACGGGUGAGUAAUGCUUAGGAAUCUGCCUAUUAGUGGGGGACAACAUCUCGAAAGGGAUGCUAAUACCGCAUACGUCCUACGGGAGAAAGCAGGGGAUCUUCGGACCUUGCGCUAAUAGAUGAGCCUAAGUCGGAUUAGCUAGUUGGUGGGGUAAAGGCCUACCAAGGCGACGAUCUGUAGCGGGUCUGAGAGGAUGAUCCGCCACACUGGGACUGAGACACGGCCCAGACUCCUACGGGAGGCAGCAGUGGGGAAUAUUGGACAAUGGGGGGAACCCUGAUCCAGCCAUGCCGCGUGUGUGAAGAAGGCCUUAUGGUUGUAAAGCACUUUAAGCGAGGAGGAGGCUACUUUAGUUAAUACCUAGAGAUAGUGGACGUUACUCGCAGAAUAAGCACCGGCUAACUCUGUGCCAGCAGCCGCGGUAAUACAGAGGGUGCGAGCGUUAAUCGGAUUUACUGGGCGUAAAGCGUGCGUAGGCGGCUUAUUAAGUCGGAUGUGAAAUCCCCGAGCUUAACUUGGGAAUUGCAUUCGAUACUGGUGAGCUAGAGUAUGGGAGAGGAUGGUAGAAUUCCAGGUGUAGCGGUGAAAUGCGUAGAGAUCUGGAGGAAUACCGAUGGCGAAGGCAGCCAUCUGGCC